GCGCUGGUAGCUCAGUUGGUUAGAGCGGGCCGCUCAUAACGGUCUGGUCGCGGGUUCAAGUCCUGCCCAGCGCA
This 74-nucleotide transfer RNA is filed under the name Acetobacter sp. RNAcentral describes it as "tRNA-Ile". It matches the Rfam family "tRNA". From Rfam's summary of the family: Transfer RNA (tRNA) molecules are approximately 80 nucleotides in length. Their secondary structure includes four short double-helical elements and three loops (D, anti-codon, and T loops). Lineage: Bacteria; Pseudomonadati; Pseudomonadota; Alphaproteobacteria; Acetobacterales; Acetobacteraceae. The record is from RNAcentral.